This 253-nucleotide ribosomal RNA is filed under the name uncultured bacterium. RNAcentral's name for it is "partial 16S ribosomal RNA". It matches the Rfam family "Bacterial small subunit ribosomal RNA", at positions 524 to 776 of the family's 1533-position model. The record is from RNAcentral.
UACGGGGGGGGCAAGCGUUGUUCGGAAUUACUGGGCGUAAAGGGCUCGUAGGCGGCCAACUAAGUCAGACGUGAAAUCCCCAGGCUUAACCUGGGAACUGCGUCUGAUACUGGAUGGCUUGAAUUCGGGAGAGGGAUGCAGAAUUCCAGGUGUAGCGGUGAAAUGCGUAGAUAUCUGGAGGAACACCGGUGGCGAAGGCGGCAUCCUGGACCGGCAUUGACGCUGAGGAGCGAAAGCCAGGGGAGCAAACGGG